RNAcentral lists this ribosomal RNA (497 nucleotides) under uncultured bacterium. Its description in RNAcentral is "partial 16S ribosomal RNA". It matches the Rfam family "Bacterial small subunit ribosomal RNA", at positions 28 to 507 of the family's 1533-position model. The record is from RNAcentral.
GAUGAACGCUGGCGGCGUGCCUAAUACAUGCAAGUCGAGCGAACAGACGAGGAGCUUGCUCCUCUGACGUUAGCGGCGGACGGGUGAGUAACACGUGGAUAACCUACCUAUAAGACUGGGAUAACUUCGGGAAACCGGAGCUAAUACCGGAUAAUAUAUUGAACCGCAUGGUUCAAUAGUGAAAGACGGUUUUGCUGUCACUUAUAGAUGGAUCCGCGCCGCAUUAGCUAGUUGGUAAGGUAACGGCUUACCAAGGCAACGAUGCGUAGCCGACCUGAGAGGGUGAUGCGCCACACUGGAACUGAGACACGGUCCAGACUCCUACGGGAGGCAGCAGUAGGGAAUCUUCCGCAAUGGGCGAAAGCCUGACGGAGCAACGCCGCGUGAGUGAUGAAGGUCUUCGGAUCGUAAAACUCUGUUAUUAGGGAAGAACAAAUGUGUAAGUAACUAUGCACGUCUUGACGGUACCUAAUCAGAAAGCCACGGCUAACUACGUG